Armigeres subalbatus is the source of this 548-nucleotide long non-coding RNA. RefSeq lists it as uncharacterized. The transcript has 3 exons. NCBI's taxonomy places the organism in Eukaryota, Metazoa, Arthropoda, Insecta, Diptera, Culicidae. The record is from RefSeq and is a predicted model, not a curated record.
CUGCUAAGAUAUGCGUAUGCGAAGUCAAUAUCACCCAACCAUUACCGCACACUUCCAACAGGGAGGACUCGUCUGAUCAUUUGCCAUAAGAUUACGCACAUGCAUACAAGAACCCGAUCAUAUAACUCACUCUCUGAUAAGAGAUAUCAUCUCCCGUAAUCACGAAGAACGAUCCUGUCGGAGUAAAUCCGAUCGCAUAUCACACACGGCUCAGGUACAUAUGAUCAAUCUGCAGAUAGGGAGCGACGAUCAGAUAUAACUCGACUCCUGAGUAGAUCACGCGCGCGCGGAACAAAUAUAACAUUAAACAAAAUUUAAAAGUGUUGCCUUUGCCCAGUGUGAGGAUUUUGAUGUAGUUUCUCAGGAGAAGAUUAAGUGGGAAAUACGUCAGUAGCUCCGAUGUGGCAGGAGUAGAUUAUACUUCUUGAGAUCGGCCUUUCUUCGACACCAUGGUGCAAUAGCAUGCAGAAGGUGAUGUUGUGGUGCGAGUUCGACAAUGGCAUGUCAAGCAGCGGGGUGGCCGGCAUGGCGCCGGUAGUCUUUCUCCC